CACUCCUGCGGGAGGCAGCAGUGGGGAAUAUUGGACAAUGGGCGCAAGCCUGAUCCAGCCAUGCCGCGUGAGUGAUGAAGGCCCUAGGGUUGUAAAGCUCUUUCACCGGUGAAGAUAAUGACGGUAACCGGAGAAGAAGCCCCGGCUAACUUCGUGCCAGCAGCCGCGGUAAUACGAAGGGGGCUAGCGUUGUUCGGAUUUACUGGGCGUAAAGCGCACGUAGGCGGACUAUUAAGUCAGGGGUGAAAUCCCGGGGCUCAACCCCGGAACUGCCUUUGAUACUGGUAGUCUUGAGUUCGAGAGAGGUGAGUGGAAUUCCGAGUGCAGAGGUGAAAUUCGUAGAUAUUCGGAGGAACACCAGUGGCGAAGGCGGCUCACUGGCUCGAUACUGACGCUGAGGUGCGAAAGCGUGGGGAGCAAACAGGAUUAGAAACCCUUGUAGUCCCAUGA
RNAcentral lists this ribosomal RNA (450 nucleotides) under uncultured organism. RNAcentral describes it as "partial 16S ribosomal RNA". It matches the Rfam family "Bacterial small subunit ribosomal RNA", at positions 334 to 800 of the family's 1533-position model. The record is from RNAcentral.